UAACGCGGGGCAACCCUGGCGACGAGUGGCGGACGGGUGAGUAAUACGUAGGGAAUCUGCCCCAUUUUGUGGGGGGAUAACCCCGGCGAAAAGCCGGGCUAAUACCGCAUACGCUCUACGGGAGGAAAAGCAGGGGGAUCGUAAGACCUUGCGCAAAUGGAUGAGCCUACGUCGGAUUAGCUAGUUGGUAGGGUAACGGCCUACCAAGGCGACGAUCCGUAGCUGGUCUGAGAGGACGAUCAGCCACACUGGGACUGAGACACGGCCCAGACUCCUACGGGAGGCAGCAGUGGGGAAUAUUGGACAAUGGGGGCAACCCUGAUCCAGCAAUGCCGCGUGUGUGAAGAAGGCCUGCGGGUUGUAAAGCACUUUCAGAGGGGAAGAAAAAAUCGGAGCUAACACCUCCGAGCUUGACGUUACCCUUAGAAGAAGCACCGGCUAACUCCGUGCCAGCAGCCGCGGUAAU
RNAcentral lists this ribosomal RNA (466 nucleotides) under uncultured Gammaproteobacteria bacterium. RNAcentral's name for it is "bacterial SSU rRNA". It matches the Rfam family "Bacterial small subunit ribosomal RNA", at positions 70 to 524 of the family's 1533-position model. The record is from RNAcentral. Lineage: Bacteria; Pseudomonadati; Pseudomonadota; Gammaproteobacteria.